RNAcentral lists this ribosomal RNA (460 nucleotides) under uncultured bacterium. RNAcentral describes it as "partial 16S ribosomal RNA". It matches the Rfam family "Bacterial small subunit ribosomal RNA", at positions 338 to 795 of the family's 1533-position model. The record is from RNAcentral.
CCUACGGGAGGCAGCAGUGAGGAAUAUUGGUCAAUGUGCGCGAGCCUGAACCAGCCAAGUCGCGUGAAGGAUGACUGCCCUACGGGUUGUAAGCUUCUUUUAUAAAGGGAUAGGGUGAGGCGCGUGUGCCUUUUUGUAUGUACUUUAUGCAUAAGAGUAGGCUAACUCCGUUCCAUCAGCCGCGGUAAUACGGAGGAUCCGAGGGUUAUCCGGAUUUAUUGGGUUUAACGUGAGCGUAGAUGGGUUGUUAAGUCAGAUGUGAAAGGUUCGGGCUCAACCCGACAACUGCAAUUGAUACUGGCAGUCUUGAGUAUAGUUGCGGUAGGCGGAAUGCGUGGUGUAGCGGUGAAAUGCGUAGAGAUCAUGAAGAACACCGAUUGCGAAGGCAGCUUACUAAACUGUCACUGACGUUGAGGCGCGAAAGCGUGGGGAGCAAACAGGAUUAGAUACCCGAGUAGUC